GGGCCAUUAGCUCAGCCGGCAGAGCACUUGACUUUUAAUCAAGGUGUCCGGAGUUCGAAUCUCCGAUGGCUCA
Molecule: transfer RNA, 73 nt
Filed under: Oscillospiraceae bacterium
Lineage: Bacteria; Bacillati; Bacillota; Clostridia; Eubacteriales; Oscillospiraceae
Description: tRNA-Lys
Rfam family: tRNA
About the family: Transfer RNA (tRNA) molecules are approximately 80 nucleotides in length.
Source: RNAcentral